RNAcentral lists this ribosomal RNA (469 nucleotides) under uncultured bacterium. RNAcentral's name for it is "partial 16S ribosomal RNA". It matches the Rfam family "Bacterial small subunit ribosomal RNA", at positions 28 to 507 of the family's 1533-position model. The record is from RNAcentral.
GACGAACGCUGGCGGCGUGCUUAACACAUGCAAGUCGAACGGUGAAGCGAGUGCUUGCACUCGUGGAUCAGUGGCGAGCGGGUGAGUAACACGUGAGUAACCUGCCCAUCACUCUGGGAUAAGCACUGGAAACGGUGUCUAAUACUGGAUACGACCAACCCUUGCAUGGGGUGUUGGUGGAAAGAUUUAUCGGUGAUGGAUGGACUCGCGGCCUAUCAGCUUGUUGGCGGGGUAAUGGCCCACCAAGGCGACGACGGGUAGCCGGCCUGAGAGGGUGACCGGCCACACUGGGACUGAGACACGGCCCAGACUCCUACGGGAGGCAGCAGUGGGGAAUAUUGCACAAUGGGCGAAAGCCUGAUGCAGCGACGCCGCGUGAGGGAUGACGGCCUUCGGGUUGUAAACCUCUUUCAGCAGGGAAGAAGCGAAAGUGACGGUACCUGCAGAAGAAGCACCGGCUAACUACGUG